GACGAACGCUGGCGGCGUGCCUAAUACAUGCAAGUAGAACGCUGAAGGAGGAGCUUGCUCUUCUGGAUGAGUUGCGAACGGGUGAGUAACGCGUAGGUAACCUGCCUGGUAGCGGGGGAUAACUAUUGGAAACGAUAGCUAAUACCGCAUAACAGUAGAUGUUGCACGACAUUUACUUAAAAGGUGCAAUUGCAUCACUACCAGAUGGACCUGCGUUGUAUUAGCUAGUUGGUGGGGUAACGGCUCACCAAGGCGACGAUACAUAGCCGACCUGAGAGGGUGAUCGGCCACACUGGGACUGGGACACGGCCCAGACUCCUACGGGAGGCAGCAGUAGGGAAUCUUCGGCAAUGGACGGAAGUCUGACCGAGCAACGCCGCGUGAGUGAAGAAGGUUUUCGGAUCGUAAAGCUCUGUUGUAAGAGAAGAACGAGUGUGAGAGUGGAAAGUUCACACUGUGACGGUAUCUUACCAGAAAGGGACGGCUAACUACGUG
Molecule: ribosomal RNA, 495 nt
Filed under: uncultured bacterium
Lineage: Bacteria
Description: partial 16S ribosomal RNA
Rfam family: Bacterial small subunit ribosomal RNA
Source: RNAcentral